Molecule: long non-coding RNA, 848 nt
Filed under: Marmota monax (woodchuck)
Lineage: Eukaryota; Metazoa; Chordata; Mammalia; Rodentia; Sciuridae
Source: RNAcentral
AGAAUAUAUAUUCAAAUGCUCUAAUAAUUCACUUAGUACUUUUCUGAAAAGUAAUCAUAAGUGGUAUAUUUGUUACUCAAUUUAAGUUUUUAAUAAGGGAUGAUGAGACUUAACAAGUUAAGAUGAGAAAACUGGUAUAGGGUAGGUCUGAGGGUGAAAGGGGACUCAAGAACUUAAUCGUGGACAUUUUGGAUACCUUUGUCCACUAUGUGAUAAUAUAUCUAAUACAUGCAACAAUGUAAUCAAUCCAAACAUCAUAGCUGUAAGGGAGAAUUAAUUGACCCUACUUUCCAGAUGAAAAAGAUUGGGAUUCAGAGAACAUGAGUCUGGUCUAAGUUGAGCCAGCUGGUGUGAGUUAGAUUUAGUAUUGAGACAAGGACUUCCUGGGCAGCCUAUCUGAUCUCCUCAGCUCUGAUUUUCCUCUGCUUCCCACAAUAAAGCCAACAGCCAGACAGGUGGGGACAGGCCUCUAAGGUCCUCUCAUUGCUCAUGACCCAAAUCCCACAACUGUUUCCAAGUUGCUUCCCAGUCUCCCCUCUUUCUUCACUUUGUGACCCGUGGUCCUUCCCUGUCCCCUCAGAUCUGAUUCUAGGCACCACUUUUCACACAUCAAUCUUUUACUUGUCAUGGUUUCCUACAGAGUAUGUUCCUUCUGAAGCCACUGCAGCUUCCUGUGACUGGAAAUUUGAAAACAUUCUGGUCUCUACUUUUAUAAUUUGUGCACAUAAUGCAAAUACGGGUUUUUAUAUUCAUAUACAUCCUUGGAAAAAGUGAAAAAAGGUUAAUAUGUUUACCUAUUUUAUCUAUUUAGCCAUUUUGCACUUUCAGAUGAGAGUACUGUCUUUUCA